RNAcentral lists this ribosomal RNA (1062 nucleotides) under Pseudomonas fluorescens. RNAcentral describes it as "bacterial SSU rRNA". It matches the Rfam family "Bacterial small subunit ribosomal RNA", at positions 21 to 1083 of the family's 1533-position model. The record is from RNAcentral. Lineage: Bacteria; Pseudomonadati; Pseudomonadota; Gammaproteobacteria; Pseudomonadales; Pseudomonadaceae.
GGCUCAGAUUGAACGCUGGCGGCAGGCCUAACACAUGCAAGUCGAGCGGUAGAGAGAAGCUUGCUUCUCUUGAGAGCGGCGGACGGGUGAGUAAUGCCUAGGAAUCUGCCUGGUAGUGGGGGAUAACUUCGGAAACGGACGCUAAUACCGCAUACGUCCUACGGGAGAAAGCAGGGGACCUUCGGGCCUUGCGCUAUCAGAUGAGCCUAGGUCGGAUUAGCUAGUUGGUGAGGUAAUGGCUCACCAAGGCGACGUCCGUAACUGGUCUGAGAGGAUGAUCAGUCACACUGGAACUGAGACACGGUCCAGACUCCUACGGGAGGCAGCAGUGGGGAAUAUUGGACAAUGGGCGAAAGCCUGAUCCAGCCAUGCCGCGUGUGUAAGAAGGUCUUCGGAUUGUAAAGCACUUUAAGUUGGGAGGAAGGGCAGUNANUUAAUACNUNNNUGUUUUGACGUUACCGACAGAAUAAGCACCGGCUAACUCUGUGCCAGCAGCCGCGGUAAUACAAGGGUGCAAGCGUUAAUCGGAAUUACUGGGCGUAAAGCGCGCGUAGGUGGUUNGUUAAGUUGGAUGUGAAAUCCCCGGGCUAAAAAUGGGAACUGCAUUCAAAACUGACNNANNNCUAGAGUAUGGUGAGGGUGGUGGAAUUUCCUGUGUAGCGGUGAAAUGCGUAGAUAUAGGAAGGAACACCAGUGGCGAAGGCGACCACCUGGACUGAUACUGACACUGAGGUGCGAAAGCGUGGGGAGCAAACAGGAUUAAUACCCUGGUAGUCCACGCCGUAAACGAUGUCAACUAGCCGUUGGGAGCCUUGAGCUCUUAGUGGCGCAGCUAACGCAUUAAGUUGACCGCCUGGGGAGUACGGCCGCAAGGUUAAAACUCAAAUGAUUGACGGGGGCCCGCACAACCGGUGGAGCAUGUGGUUUAAUUCNAAGCAACNCGAAGAACCUUACNANGNCUUGACAUCCAAUGAACUUUCUANANAUAGAUUGGUGCCUUCGGGAACAUUGAGACAGUGCUGCAUGGCUGUCGUCAGCUCGUGUCNUGAGAUGUUGGGUUAA